CAGCACCUCAAGUGGUCAGGAUGAUUAUUGGGCCUAAAGCAUCCGUAGCCGGCUCUGUAAGUUUUCGGUUAAAUCUGUACGCUUAACGUACAGGCUGCCGGGAAUACUGCAGAGCUAGGGAGUGGGAGAGGUAGACGGUACUCGGUAGGAAGGGGUAAAAUCCUUUGAUCUAUUGAUGACCACCUGUGGCGAAGGCGGUCUACCAGAACACGCCCGACGGUGAGGGAUGAAAGCUGGGGGAGCAAACCGGAUUAGAUACCCGAGUAGUCC
This 270-nucleotide ribosomal RNA is filed under the name uncultured archaeon. RNAcentral's name for it is "partial 16S ribosomal RNA". It matches the Rfam family "Archaeal small subunit ribosomal RNA", at positions 477 to 747 of the family's 1478-position model. The record is from RNAcentral.